AGUCGAGCGAGCUUGCCUAGAUGAAUUUGGUGCUUGCACCAGAUGAAACUAGAUACAAGCGAGCGGCGGACGGGUGAGUAACACGUGGGUAACCUGCCCAAGAGACUGGGAUAACACCUGGAAACAGAUGCUAAUACCGGAUAACAACACUAGACGCAUGUCUAGAGUUUAAAAGAUGGUUCUGCUAUCACUCUUGGAUGGACCUGCGGUGCAUUAGCUAGUUGGUAAGGUAACGGCUUACCAAGGCAAUGAUGCAUAGCCGAGUUGAGAGACUGAUCGGCCACAUUGGGACUGAGACACGGCCCAAACUCCUACGGGAGGCAGCAGUAGGGAAUCUUCCACAAUGGACGCAAGUCUGAUGGAGCAACGCCGCGUGAGUGAAGAAGGGUUUCGGCUCGUAAAGCUCUGUUGGUAGUGAAGAAAGAUAGAGGUAGUAACUGGCCUUUAUUUGACGGUAAUUACUUAGAAAGUCACGGCUAACUACGUGCCAGCAGCCGCGGUAAUACGUAGGUGGCAAGCGUUGUCCGGAUUUAUUGGGCGUAAAGCGAGUGCAGGCGGUUCAAUAAGUCUGAUGUGAAAGCCUUCGGCUCAACCGGAGAACUGCAUCAGAAACUGUUGAACUUGAGUGCAGAAGAGGAGAGUGGAACUCCAUGUGUAGCGGUGGAAUGCGUAGAUAUAUGGAAGAACACCAGUGGCGAAGGCGGCUCUCUGGUCUGCAACUGACGCUGAGGCUCGAAAGCAUGGGUAGCGAACAGGAUUAGAUACCCUGGUAGUCCAUGCCGUANACGAUGAGUGCUAAGUGUUGGGAGGUUUCCGCCUCUCAGUGCUGCAGCUAACGCAUUAAGCACUCCGCC
This 854-nucleotide ribosomal RNA is filed under the name uncultured bacterium. RNAcentral's name for it is "bacterial SSU rRNA". It matches the Rfam family "Bacterial small subunit ribosomal RNA", at positions 60 to 873 of the family's 1533-position model. The record is from RNAcentral.